AGCCAACCCAUGUGUAUCUAUGGGUAGAUUCUCAACUAAUUAUUUCUUCAAAUAAUUUUUAAUAUUUGGUUUUGCAUCAAGUACCUUUUUAGUGGGUGAAGGCCUCCACUGGUCCUAGUUAGGUCCAACCAUUAAUAUGAACAUACUCAGUGAAUCUAGCUAAUGAAUGAUUAGACUCAAAGAAAGCUCGACCAAUCCAACCAUUCAUCAGAUAAUACAGCUAAGUCAUCAUAUAAUGAAUGAUAGUAAUAAUAUCUAAAUAAACACCA
This 269-nucleotide long non-coding RNA is filed under the name Elaeis guineensis (African oil palm). RNAcentral describes it as "long non-coding RNA (EGUI_LNC062010)". Lineage: Eukaryota; Viridiplantae; Streptophyta; Magnoliopsida; Arecales; Arecaceae. The record is from RNAcentral.